RNAcentral lists this ribosomal RNA (483 nucleotides) under uncultured bacterium. RNAcentral describes it as "partial 16S ribosomal RNA". It matches the Rfam family "Bacterial small subunit ribosomal RNA", at positions 30 to 507 of the family's 1533-position model. The record is from RNAcentral.
UUGAACGCUGGCGGAAUGCUUUACCCAUGCAAGUCGAACGGCAGCACGGGGGCAGCCCUGGUGGCGAGUGGCGAACGGGUGAGUAAUACAUCGGAACGUGCCCGGUCGUGGGGGAUAACGUAGCGAAAGUUACGCUAAUACCGCAUACGAUCUGAGGAUGAAAGCGGGGGACCUUCGGGCCUCGCGCGAUCGGAGCGGCCGAUGUCAGAUUAGGUAGUUGGUGGGGUAAAGGCCUACCAAGCCGACGAUCUGUAGCUGGUCUGAGAGGACGACCAGCCACACUGGGACUGAGACACGGCCCAGACUCCUACGGGAGGCAGCAGUGGGGAAUUUUGGACAAUGGGCGCAAGCCUGAUCCAGCCAUUCCGCGUGCAGGACGAAGGCCUUCGGGUUGUAAACUGCUUUUGUACGGAACGAAAAGGCUCUGGCUAAUACCUGGGGCUCAUGACGGUACCGUAAGGAUAAGCACCGGCUAACUACGUG